Non-coding RNA from Podarcis lilfordi (Lilford's wall lizard), 71 nucleotides. The record is from the annotation of a GenBank genome assembly. Lineage: Eukaryota; Metazoa; Chordata; Lepidosauria; Squamata; Lacertidae.
GAAUAAGCUCAGCUGGUUAGAGCAUGGUGCUAAUAACGCCAAGAUUGCAGGUUCUGUCCCCAUAAGAGACA